GACAGAGGUCCCAAGCGUUAGGCGGAAUCACUGGGCUUAAAGCGUGUGUAGGCGGAUUUGUAAGUACCUUGUGAAAUCCCACGGCUCAACCGUGGAACUGCUUGGUAUACUGCUUAUCUUGGGUCAUCUAGGGGCGAGCGGAACAAACGGUGGAGCGGUGAAAUGCGUAGAUAUCGUUUGGAACGCCAAUGGUGAAAACAGGUAGCUGGGGUUGUGCUGACGCUGAGACACGAAAGCCAGGGGAGCGAACGGG
Molecule: ribosomal RNA, 253 nt
Filed under: uncultured bacterium
Lineage: Bacteria
Description: partial 16S ribosomal RNA
Rfam family: Bacterial small subunit ribosomal RNA
Source: RNAcentral